Molecule: ribosomal RNA, 253 nt
Filed under: uncultured bacterium
Lineage: Bacteria
Description: partial 16S ribosomal RNA
Rfam family: Bacterial small subunit ribosomal RNA
Source: RNAcentral
GACGUAGGGUCCGAGCGUUGUCCGGAGUUACUGGGCGUAAAGCGCGCGCAGGCGGUCGCUCGCAUCGGCGGUGAAAGCCCCCCGCUCAACGGGGGAGGGUCCGUCGAGAUGGGGCGACUGGAGGCAGGGAGAGGCCAGUGGAAUUCCGGGUGUAGUGGUGAAAUGCGUAGAGAUCCGGAGGAACACCAGUAGCGAAGGCGGCACUCUGGGCCGGUACUGACGCUGAGGAGCGAAAGCGUGGGGAGCGAACAGG